This 219-nucleotide unclassified non-coding RNA is filed under the name uncultured Nitriliruptoraceae bacterium. RNAcentral's name for it is "contains 16S-23S intergenic spacer region". It matches the Rfam family "Bacterial small subunit ribosomal RNA", at positions 976 to 1199 of the family's 1533-position model. The record is from RNAcentral. Lineage: Bacteria; Bacillati; Actinomycetota; Nitriliruptoria; Nitriliruptorales; Nitriliruptoraceae.
UGGGCUUGACAUACACCGUUCAUCCGUGGAAACACGGUGGGUUCGUCCGAGGUGUACAGGUGGUGCAUGGCCGUCGUCAGCUCGUGUCGUGAGAUGUUGGGUUAAGUCCCGCAACGAGCGCAACCCCUGUCCCUAGUUGCCAGCGCGUAAUGGCGGGGACUCUAGGGAGACUGCCGGUGUCAAACCGGAGGAAGGUGGGGAUGACGUAGACCUUGGACC